This 159-nucleotide ribosomal RNA is filed under the name Biatora cf. helvola G. Thor 24259. Its description in RNAcentral is "5.8S ribosomal RNA". It matches the Rfam family "5.8S ribosomal RNA". Rfam says of the family: 5.8S ribosomal RNA (5.8S rRNA) is a component of the large subunit of the eukaryotic ribosome. It is transcribed by RNA polymerase I as part of the 45S precursor that also contains 18S and 28S rRNA. Functionally, it is thought that 5.8S rRNA may be involved in ribosome translocation. Lineage: Eukaryota; Fungi; Ascomycota; Lecanoromycetes; Lecanorales; Ramalinaceae. The record is from RNAcentral.
AAAACUUUCAACAACGGAUCUCUUGGUUCUGGCAUCGAUGAAGAACGCAGCGAAAUGCGAUAAGUAAUGUGAAUUGCAGAAUUCAGUGAAUCAUCGAAUCUUUGAACGCACAUUGCGCCCCUCGGUAUUCCGGGGGGCAUGCCUGUUCGRGCGUCAUUA